RNAcentral lists this ribosomal RNA (913 nucleotides) under Candidatus Phytoplasma asteris-related phytoplasma. Its description in RNAcentral is "bacterial SSU rRNA". The record is from RNAcentral. Lineage: Bacteria; Bacillati; Mycoplasmatota; Mollicutes; Acholeplasmatales; Acholeplasmataceae.
AUAGGUAUGCUUAGGGAGGAGCUUGCGUCACAUUAGUUAGUUGGUGGGGUAAAGGCCUAMCAAGACUAUGAUGUGUAGCCGGGCUGAGAGGUUGAACGGCCACAUUGGGACUGAGACACGGCCCAAACUCCUACGGGAGGCAGCAGUAGGGAAUUUUCGGCAAUGGAGGAAACUCUGACCGAGCAACGCCGCGUGAACGAUGAAGUAUUUCGGUACGUAAAGUUCUUUUAUUAGGGAAGAAUAAAUGAUGGAAAAAUCAUUCUGACGGUACCUAAUGAAUAAGCCCCGGCUAACUAUGUGCCAGCAGCCGCGGUAAUACAUAGGGGGCAAGCGUUAUCCGGAAUUAUUGGGCGUAAAGGGUGCGUAGGCGGUUAAAUAAGUUUAUGGUCUAAGUGCAAUGCUCAACAUUGUGAUGCUAUAAAAACUGUUUAGCUAGAGUAAGAUAGAGGCAAGUGGAAUUCCAUGUGUAGUGGUAAAAUGCGUAAAUAUAUGGAGGAACACCAGUAGCGAAGGCGGCUUGCUGGGUCUUUACUGACGCUGAGGCACGAAAGCGUGGGGAGCAAACAGGAUUAGAUACCCUGGUAGUCCACGCCGUAAACGAUGAGUACUAAACGUUGGGUAAAACCAGUGUUGAAGUUAACACAUUAAGUACUCCGCCUGAGUAGUACGUACGCAAGUAUGAAACUUAAAGGAAUUGACGGGACUCCGCACAAGCGGUGGAUCAUGUUGUUUAAUUCGAAGGUACCCGAAAAACCUCACCAGGUCUUGACAUGCUUCUGCAAAGCUGUAGAAACACAGUGGAGGUUAUCAGUUGCACAGGUGGUGCAUGGUUGUCGUCAGCUCGUGUCGUGAGAUGUUGGGUUAAGUCCCGCAACGAGCGCAACCCUUAUUGUUAGUUACCAGCACGUAAUGG